CGGGUGAGGAACACAUGGGUACCUACCCUUGAGUGAGGGAUACCGGCGAGAAAUCGCCGACAAGCCCGCAUACGGUCUUUUUACGGAAGUGAGAGAGAAGAAAGUCGCGAGACGCUCGGGGAUGGGCCUGUGGCCGAUUAGCUAGCUGGUGGGGUAAGGGCUCACCAGGGCGACGAUCGGUAGCUGGUCUGAGAGGACGAUCAGCCACACUGGGAUUGAGAACGGCCCAG
RNAcentral lists this ribosomal RNA (230 nucleotides) under uncultured bacterium. RNAcentral describes it as "partial 16S ribosomal RNA". It matches the Rfam family "Bacterial small subunit ribosomal RNA", at positions 103 to 334 of the family's 1533-position model. The record is from RNAcentral.